AUAGAUAUAGAUAUCUAGCUAUAGAUAUAGAUAUAGAUAUAGAUAUAGAUAUAGAUAUAGAUGUAGAUAGAUAUAGAUAUAUAA
This 84-nucleotide microRNA precursor is filed under the name Echinops telfairi (small Madagascar hedgehog). Its description in RNAcentral is "miRNA (ENSETEG00000026017.1)". The record is from RNAcentral. Lineage: Eukaryota; Metazoa; Chordata; Mammalia; Afrosoricida; Tenrecidae.